GCAUUAAUUUACCAGAGGUCGGGUCAGGCUGUCUUAACGCAGGCAGAGGGGUGUGGCAGAUCUCCAACCGCUCGGGGUCCCGUGAUUUCCAUUAAUGAAUUCGCACACUGGCGUUACCACUCAACACACCGACGAAGCAAGACGAUAGACAACAAUUAGCUAAAUCUACAUUAUUGGACAUGAUGGCUAAGUAAAAAACAUCACACCAGAAUCAAGGAUUUUGGUAUCUGCAUGAGUCCUGGAAUCAAUCCCCCAGAGAUACUGAUGGGAUCUUAACAAUGACAGUAAUUGAUGGUGUGUGAAGAAAAAAGGGAAGAUCAGGAGACUUUAACCUGUGGUAUUCCCAUGUUUAGAAGCAAAAUGGGGAACAAAAAGGAAGCGAAUAACAAUCAGAAAAAUAGGAGGAUAACAAUAGUGUAAUAUCAUGGAUGCCAAAGGAGAGUUUCAAAAAGAAGAAGGCAACCAAUAGUGUCAAAUGUUUCAGACAAUUGUAAAAAUUCAAAAAUAAAAAUAUUUAAAACUUUCAAAAUAAAAUAUCAAAAUAUCAAAAUAAAA
RNAcentral lists this long non-coding RNA (555 nucleotides) under Homo sapiens (human). RNAcentral's name for it is "non-protein coding lnc-DHRS7-2:7". The record is from RNAcentral. Lineage: Eukaryota; Metazoa; Chordata; Mammalia; Primates; Hominidae.